This 533-nucleotide ribosomal RNA is filed under the name uncultured Nitrososphaerota archaeon. Its description in RNAcentral is "bacterial SSU rRNA". It matches the Rfam family "Archaeal small subunit ribosomal RNA", at positions 452 to 991 of the family's 1478-position model. The record is from RNAcentral. Lineage: Archaea; Thermoproteati; Nitrososphaerota.
CUGGUGUCAGCCGCCGCGGUAAUACCAGCACCCCGAGUUGUCGGGACGAUUAUUGGGCCUAAAGCAUCCGUAGCCUGUUCUGCAAGUCCUCCGUUAAAUCCACCUGCUCAACGGGUGGGCUGCGGAGGAUACCGCAGGGCUAGGAGGCGGGAGAGGCAAACGGUACUCAGUAGGUAGGGGUAAAAUCCAUUGAUCUACUGAAGACCACCAGUGGCGAAGGCGGUUUGCCAGAACGCGCUCGACGGUGAGGGAUGAAAGCUGGGGGAGCAAACCGGAUUAGAUACCCGGGUAGUCCCAGCUGUAAACGAUGCAGACUCGGUGAUGGGGGUUCAUGCCUAUUCAACUGCGGGGGAAACCGUUAAGUUUGCCCGCCGGGGAGGACCGGCCCGCGAACGAAACUUAAAAGAAUUGGCGGGGGAGGCCAAAAGGGGUGACGCUGCCCUCGAUAGGAGUCAACACUGGAAAUCUUACCGGGGGCGACUCCAGAAUGGAAGGUCAAGCUGAAGACUUUACCAGACCCGCUGACAGGUGGU